RNAcentral lists this ribosomal RNA (381 nucleotides) under Candidatus Brocadia sp. RNAcentral's name for it is "partial 23S ribosomal RNA". It matches the Rfam family "Bacterial large subunit ribosomal RNA", at positions 2546 to 2925 of the family's 2925-position model. Lineage: Bacteria; Pseudomonadati; Planctomycetota; Candidatus Brocadiia; Candidatus Brocadiales; Candidatus Brocadiaceae. RNAcentral also lists the same sequence under 1 other name. The record is from RNAcentral.
CCUGGGGCUGGAGAAGGUCCCAAGGGUUCUGGAGUUCACAGAUUAAAGCGGUACGCGAGCUGGGUUUAGACCGUCGUGAGACAGGUCGGUCCCUAUCUGCCGUGGGUGUAUGAUAUUUGAGGAGAUCUGUCCUUAGUACGAGAGGACCGGGAUGGACGUACCUCUGGUGCACCAGUUGUCGUGCUAACGGCAUAGCUGGGUAGCUACGUACGGAAAGGAUAAAUGCUGAAAGCAUAUAAGCAUGAAGCCUACUCCAAAACUAUAUAUCAUUUUCCUUUAUGGAUGAGAGACACCUUGAAGACUACGAGGUUGAUAGGCCAGAGGUAUAAGUAUAGUAAUAUACUAAGCUGACUGGUACUAAUUAGUCGAAAAGCUUGACUU